Molecule: ribosomal RNA, 550 nt
Filed under: Cylindrocladiella peruviana
Lineage: Eukaryota; Fungi; Ascomycota; Sordariomycetes; Hypocreales; Nectriaceae
Description: eukaryotic LSU rRNA
Rfam family: Eukaryotic large subunit ribosomal RNA
Source: RNAcentral
CGGCGAGUGAAGCGGCAACAGCUCAAAUUUGAAAUCUGGCCCUCGGGUCCGAGUUGUAAUUUGUAGAGGAUGCUUUUGGUGAGGUACCUUCCGAGUUCCCUGGAACGGGACGCCAUAGAGGGUGAGAGCCCCGUCUGGUUGGAUACCGAUCCUCUGUAAAGCUCCUUCAACGAGUCGAGUAGUUUGGGAAUGCUGCUCUAAAUGGGAGGUAUAUGUCUUCUAAAGCUAAAUAUUGGCCAGAGACCGAUAGCGCACAAGUAGAGUGAUCGAAAGAUGAAAAGCACUUUGAAAAGAGAGUUAAAAAGUACGUGAAAUUGUUGAAAGGGAAGCGCUUAUGACCAGACUUGGGCUUGGUUGAUCAUCCUGGGUUCUCCCUGGUGCACUCUUCCAGUUCAGGCCAGCAUCAGUUCGUCGCGGAGGAUAAAGACUUUAGGAAUGUGGCUCCCCCGGGAGUGUUAUAGCCUAUUGUGUAAUACUCUGCUUUGGACUGAGGUUCGCGCAUCUGCAAGGAUGCUGGCGUAAUGGUCAUCAGCGACCCGUCUUGAAACAC